Molecule: transfer RNA, 80 nt
Filed under: Agrocybe pediades
Lineage: Eukaryota; Fungi; Basidiomycota; Agaricomycetes; Agaricales; Agrocybaceae
Rfam family: tRNA
About the family: Transfer RNA (tRNA) molecules are approximately 80 nucleotides in length.
Source: Rfam by way of RNAcentral
UCGGGUAUGGUGUAACGGCUAACAUUGCCGCCUCUCAUACAAGAUCGCGGCAGCUCGGGGUUCGAUUCCCCGUACCCGAA